This 262-nucleotide long non-coding RNA is filed under the name Vigna radiata. Its description in RNAcentral is "long non-coding RNA (VRAD_LNC015707)". Lineage: Eukaryota; Viridiplantae; Streptophyta; Magnoliopsida; Fabales; Fabaceae. The record is from RNAcentral.
UGUUGCACUAGAUGUGUGAACGUUGCUGGUGGGCUGUGGACUCCAAGUUGCUGCCUUUAAUUUUAUCUUGGUGGCAGCUGGACCACUUCUUCUUUGCUUCCAACACCUACUGUAAUAAUGUGCACAUGUCCAAGCAAGCUAGACCACUGCUGGACCAAGGCCUGACACCUCUUCACAUGCUGCAGCUGGGCCAUGAACGUUUUGCUACUAGUUGAGUGAAUAUAUUGCAGCUGCUGGUGCUGGACCAUGGACUCCCUUUUUA